Frieseomelitta varia is the source of this 725-nucleotide long non-coding RNA. RefSeq lists it as uncharacterized. NCBI's taxonomy places the organism in Eukaryota, Metazoa, Arthropoda, Insecta, Hymenoptera, Apidae. The record is from RefSeq and is a predicted model, not a curated record. The transcript has 3 exons.
CGUACCGUAAUUUUACGCCAUGGAAUAAUAUGUAGAACGGACGAUUUUGAAUUCGAGAGGUUUGUUCAAUGUACCGGAAGCGAUCGAUCAAGGAACAUUAGUUAUUUUACACGUCACACGCGACAGGAGAGGCUUGUGUUAAAUGCGCAUAGAUCAUGCCAGAGAACGUUAUUCAUUCUCGGCUGUAGCGAACAGCAACGAACCAGGAAACGAUACUUCUUCGCCAAAAAGAAAUUAACGAAAAAAUUCUUAGUUGUUUGUAUCACUCACACAGAGAUUUAGGAACAAUAACAUGUUGAAGAUGAGACACGCGAAAAAUGAUCGAUAUCGUUUUCGUUCUUUCUAGCAGUCAGUUUUAAUUACGCUUAUAAAGCUAAUACUUUGUGGAUAAAACAAGUCAGAUUGGAAAGGCUUAUUCUUCCCGUUGGAUAAAAACCAGAGUUCGCAAUUUUUAUACGCGAUUCAUCGUGGCACCAGAAGCAGAAGUAAAAUAAACGAUCGAGUCGGAAUCGUCGCAAAUCAACUGGCUCCUUCUUUUACGAUUUAUUUUUCAAAGCUGAGAUUUCGUCUUUCGUUUGAGGAUUCGUUGAACGUGCUUUCUGGUGAAACGAAAAGGUUCCCCUUUCUAACUACGUCUAUUCACUUUGCUUUGUACUUUUCGCAUAAUGUAGUGUAGUAUAAAGUUGCAAUUCAUCUCUUUAUUUUAUUUUUUGUUUCUUUUUCUU